UUUUUCCUUAUUUAUAAAUUAAACUAAGAAUAUAAAUACAUCUCCAUCUGUUGAUAUUAUUUCCGUUAAAUACCGAUCGUUUAAAUUUGAUCUCUGUUAUAUUUUGAAGAUUGUCGUUUAAUUGGAUUUCAAAUUAUUAUAAAAUUUAUGUUAAUAAAUUUUUUUAUCAUAAACAUUUAUUGAUAUUAUUUAUUUGUAAUUUAGACGAUAAUAUAAUAAACUAUCAAUCUGAUUCAUUCAUAUAUUCAAGUAUUGAUCUUUCAGAAUCAAACCAAGAAUUUCUUUCAAGUUUCCAAUCAAAAUGCAAUUCUUAUUCUGAAUAUAUGGAUAUAAAGAAUUGGACUGUAGAACAUGUGGAAAAAUUUAUCAAUGAUCUUGGAUUUUCUGAAGUUGCAAACAGUUUUAAAUAUCAGGAAAUAGAUGGCAGAUCUUUAUUAUUAUUAAAACGGAAUGACAUUCUAACGGGACUCAAUUUGCCGCUUGGUCCUGCUUUGAAAUUACAUAACAAGAUCGAAAAUAUUCAAAAAGCACAUUUUUGUAAAUAAAUCCUUUCAUUUUUAAUAUCAAAAGCACAUACAUUUUAUAUGAAUUUCAAUAAAUAAUA
Centruroides sculpturatus (bark scorpion) is the source of this 604-nucleotide long non-coding RNA. RefSeq lists it as uncharacterized. The record is from RefSeq and is a predicted model, not a curated record. Lineage: Eukaryota; Metazoa; Arthropoda; Arachnida; Scorpiones; Buthidae. The transcript is spliced from 3 exons.